Molecule: transfer RNA, 71 nt
Filed under: Marmota monax (woodchuck)
Lineage: Eukaryota; Metazoa; Chordata; Mammalia; Rodentia; Sciuridae
Description: tRNA.Lys
Rfam family: tRNA
About the family: Transfer RNA (tRNA) molecules are approximately 80 nucleotides in length. Their secondary structure includes four short double-helical elements and three loops (D, anti-codon, and T loops).
Source: RNAcentral
GGGGUUGUGGCUCAACGGUAGAGCACACGCCUCUUACAUGUGGGACCCUGGGUUCGAUCCUCAGCACCACA